RNAcentral lists this transfer RNA (91 nucleotides) under Thermobaculum terrenum ATCC BAA-798. Its description in RNAcentral is "tRNA-Ser (GCT) (tRNA-Ser-GCT-1-1)". It matches the Rfam family "tRNA". From Rfam's summary of the family: Transfer RNA (tRNA) molecules are approximately 80 nucleotides in length. Their secondary structure includes four short double-helical elements and three loops (D, anti-codon, and T loops). Further hydrogen bonds mediate the characteristic L-shaped molecular structure. tRNAs have two regions of fundamental functional importance: the anti-codon, which is responsible for specific mRNA codon recognition, and the 3' end, to which the tRNAs corresponding amino acid is attached (by aminoacyl-tRNA synthetases). tRNAs cope with the degeneracy of the genetic code in two manners: having more than one tRNA (with a specific anti-codon) for a particular amino acid; and 'wobble' base-pairing, i.e. permitting non-standard base-pairing at the 3rd anti-codon position. RNAcentral also lists the same sequence under 1 other name. Lineage: Bacteria; Bacillati; Chloroflexota; Chloroflexia; Thermobaculales (SeqCode); Thermobaculaceae (SeqCode). The record is from Rfam by way of RNAcentral.
GGAGGAGUCGCAUAGUGGUCUAGUGCGGCCGCCUGCUAAGCGGUUUCGGGGGUUGAUGCCUCCGACGAGGGUUCGAAUCCCUCCUCCUCCG